RNAcentral lists this unclassified non-coding RNA (375 nucleotides) under uncultured Actinomycetes bacterium. RNAcentral's name for it is "uncultured actinobacterium contains 16S-23S intergenic spacer region". The record is from RNAcentral. Lineage: Bacteria; Bacillati; Actinomycetota; Actinomycetes.
UCCGAGUUGACCCCGGCAGUCUCCUACGAGUCCCCGCCAUUACGCGCUGGCAACAUAGGACAAGGGUUGCGCUCGUUGCGGGACUUAACCCAACAUCUCACGACACGAGCUGACGACAACCAUGCACCACCUGUAUACCGCCCUUGCGGACCCCGUAUCUCUACGAGUUUUCGGUAUAUGUCAAGCCUUGGUAAGGUUCUUCGCGUUGCCUCGGAUUAAGCCACAUGCUCCGCCGCUUGUGCGGGCCCCCGUCAAUUCCUUUGAGUUUCAGUCUUGCGACCGUAUUCCCCAGGCGGAACACUUAACGCGUUAGCUGCGGCUCUGGACCGUUGACGAGCCCAAAACCUAGUGUUCAUCGUUUACGGCAUGGACUAC